RNAcentral lists this ribosomal RNA (301 nucleotides) under uncultured bacterium. RNAcentral's name for it is "partial 16S ribosomal RNA". It matches the Rfam family "Bacterial small subunit ribosomal RNA", at positions 509 to 809 of the family's 1533-position model. The record is from RNAcentral.
CAGCCGCCGCGGGAAUACGUAGGGUGCAAGCGUUAAUCGGAAUUACUGGGCGUAAAGCGUGCGCAGGCGGUCCGCUAAGACAGAUGUGAAAUCCCCGGGCUUAACCUGGGAACUGCAUUUGUGACUGGCGGGUUAGAGUAUGGCAGAGGGGGGUAGAAUUCCACGUGUAGCAGUGAAAUGCGUAGAGAUGUGGAGGAAUACCGAUGGCGAAGGCAGCCCCCUGGGCCAAUACUGACGCUCAUGCACGAAAGCGUGGGGAGCAAACAGGAUUAGAUACCCCAGUAGUCCCUGUCUCUUAUAA